Molecule: ribosomal RNA, 253 nt
Filed under: uncultured bacterium
Lineage: Bacteria
Description: partial 16S ribosomal RNA
Rfam family: Bacterial small subunit ribosomal RNA
Source: RNAcentral
CACGUAGGGCGCGAGCGUUGUCCGGAAUUAUUGGGCGUAAAGAGUCGUAGAGCGGCCUGUUGCGUCCGCUGUGAAAGCCCGGGGCUUAACCCCGGGUCGGCAGUGGAUACGGGCAGGCUAGAGGUAGGUAGGGGAGAAUGGAAUUCCCGGUGUAGCGGUGAAAUGCGCAGAUAUCGGGAGGAACACCGGUGGCGAAGGCGGUUCUCUGGGCCUUACCUGACGCUGAGGAGCGAAAGCGUGGGGAGCGAACAGG